RNAcentral lists this ribosomal RNA (417 nucleotides) under uncultured Nocardioides sp. RNAcentral's name for it is "partial 16S ribosomal RNA". It matches the Rfam family "Bacterial small subunit ribosomal RNA", at positions 355 to 774 of the family's 1533-position model. The record is from RNAcentral. Lineage: Bacteria; Bacillati; Actinomycetota; Actinomycetes; Propionibacteriales; Nocardioidaceae.
UGGGGAAUAUUGGACAAUGGGCGGAAGCCUGAUCCAGCAACGCCGCGUGAGGGAUGACGGCCUUCGGGUUGUAAACCUCUUUCAGCACAGACGAAGCGCCCGUUGUGGGUGGUGACGGUAUGUGCAGAAGAAGCACCGGCCAACUACGUGCCAGCAGCCGCGGUAAUACGUAGGGUGCGAGCGUUGUCCGGAAUUAUUGGGCGUAAAGGGCUCGUAGGCGGUUUGUCGCGUCGGGAGUGAAAUCCACUGGCUUAACUGGUGGCUUGCUUUCGAUACGGGCAGACUGGAGGUAUGCAGGGGAGAACGGAAUUCCUGGUGUAGCGGUGAAAUGCGCAGAUAUCAGGAGGAACACCGGUGGCGAAGGCGGUUCUCUGGGCAUGUCCUGACGCUGAGGAGCGAAAGUGUGGGGAGCGAACA